UAGAGAGAAAGGAGAAGCUGCGAAACCUGCUGUUGGGGCUCCUUCCGUACCAUUAUCAAGGUGGUGCGCUGUCUCUUCGGGUUUGCGAUAGGCAAUGCAGUUACUUUCAAUCAGCUUAUUUGAGGGCACUGCUUUAUGAUGCGGGUGAGAGUUCACUCACAUGGUAUUUUUCAUAGUUCGUGAGGUUAUUUUCCAGUCGGUAAAAUUGUACGCAAUUAGUAUGUCGCUGAAAACACUGCAGUUAGAUGUCAUUUUGGGAUGCCAACAAAUGCCUCAUUGACACUUUGAAAAUUAUGAGAGUACUUCUCGAGUUAGAUAAUUGUAAUUACCAAAUUAAAUCUCAGUAACGAAAGAAUUACUGGCUACUACUCCACUUUACUGGAAACAAUAUGCACUAGGUUUUCUUCAAGUAACGGAACUUUUUUUUUUUUUUUUUUUAAAUCUUAGUGCAUGAUAGCUGUGGAACACUCUCUCUCUUCAUCCCUAUACCCCGUUUUCCAGUGCAGGGUAGAAAAACGGACAUGCGUCUGGUUAACCUCUCUGCCUUUCCUCUCUUCUAUUUCUCUCUCUCUAUAAUUCACUCAGUAACCAUAAUGAGGCCAAGCCAGAUUCACUCGAAAUCAGAAUCGACAGCAGUCAUGUGCGGCAGCACUUAUGCUCGGACUAGCAGAAAAAAAAAAGAGGCUGCAGUUUUGCAGAAAGGCGAAGCAGUGUUAGUGAUAGCCAAGUAUGCGACAAUUACACGAAGGAAGAUUACACCAGCAAGGGGACUCAGGCUGUGAAAUUGAACUGUCUCCUACUAUGAGGUCUUGUAUAUACUUAGCGCCGUUACUUCAGUGCUCAAGUCUUCGAGGUCAAACGAAGUUUCUUGAAGUGCAAGAAAUAUAUAUAUAUAUAUAUAUAUAUAUAUAUAUGUAUCGUAAGGAACCGCUUUAUUCCAGCCAAGCUCGGACUACUACCUCGAGGAUUAAACUGUGCUGCUAGUGAUGAUAUAUGCAGAUGAAAAAGAUGUGCAGAUGAUGAAGUUGAAAGUCAGGCAUGUGUUGUGCCCAUGCUAAUUCUCUCUCGCUGUGGAAGCGGCCGCCUGGCUGCGCGUGGCCAAAGAACGUAAUCGGAAGAGGUGACGAGACAAAUGCAUUCUUCGUGGUUAGGAAAAGAAUUGCCAGUGGCAUCCAGUUGUGUGAGGCGCUGACGACAAGAGAUAGAAGCAGACGCCAAAGAAGUCCCACCCCAAGAUGAGUUCAUGGGUCACUCACGAAAUACCGCAAAAACAAUGUGGUGAAGAAUUUAGUCUAUGGACACACGAACAGUACACGGUGCGAUUGGACGAAUAAUAACGUUGGCUGCUGCACAAAGAGAAAGGCCGGAGUAAGGCAAUUCUUGUGUUUUAUAGAGUCCCGAACAGUCACAUGGCAAUAAUCGCCAAGCAUCUUGUAACAUGGAGCCACCUCAGAAUUGCACCAAACAAAGAUGAUGGAUGCAGCCAGUCUUGCCAGAUAACUACAUUUUGACUAUUCUGUAUUGUUUGCAUUUAUUGUGCAAAAGGAAUUCUCGCAGAGAGUUUUAUCUUCAGUGGCCUUCAGUUGACGUCAUCUGCUACAACUAGCACAUAAGUUAACUCCAUAGCACCACUAGGAUGGAGACAUUGUGUCGUGGGAUGCUUCCUUAAAAGUGGACAAGAAGAUUCUAAAGGAAAAGUGUGAGAUGGUCACAGUAAUAACCAAGGCAUUUGGCAUGGGAAUGACCCAGCUAUGAAGGUAUUAUCAGAUGUGGACAAGCAUACAAUACUAAAUGGCGCCUUGCACGAGUCCCAAGUGUCAAAUGUAAUGAGUAUUGUGCAUUGAAAGGGCCAAAAAUGUUUUGUACAUGCAAGGGAACACUAUGGGCAUUUGAUAGCAGUUGCUUAGAUGUACUACAUUUAAAGGAACCAAACGAAUUCCCUUAGACAUAAGCAUGCAGCAAAUUCAAGGACUAGAUGAAGCUUCAAAGAAACUGCAUUUCAUGUAGGAUAGGUGUGAAUGACCUUUGUGCAUGAGAUCAGUGACAAAAACACUAAAUGAAUGCAGUACAGUGUCUGUAUCAUAUCUUGUGCAGACCAAACUAGCCUGGAGUUUCAGCAUUCCUUGUCAGUACAUUUAAAUAGGCACAACAUUGUUCAAAGUGCAAUAUUCUUCUACAAAACAUAAUAUGCAAGAUGUAGCAUGCUAACUCUCGUGGCUCAACAACUACUGAACCGAAACCUCAAUGAGCAGUGAAGCGUCCUUGUAAUUUUCAUCGUAACCAUACUUUUGCUCUUGAAAGUGAACCUCUUUAGUGAAUUUGCUUGUGUAUUAAUUUUUCUUUAGGCAAGUAUUUUUUAUACAUGUUAAUGUCUCAAUCCUGCUUUCUCUUUCCGGAGCUAAAACAAAAUGCCUCUUAUUUCAAUUUGAUCUUUUGACCUAGGAAGCCAUCAUCUGGUGCUGUGUACAGCAAGCACAUGCUUCGGGCAAGGAGGGAGCCAGCACCAUAUCUACAUCAGCAAGAACCUCGGUGCUCAAAAUAAACAUUUUCUGUGCAAA
Molecule: long non-coding RNA, 2558 nt
Filed under: Dermacentor andersoni
Lineage: Eukaryota; Metazoa; Arthropoda; Arachnida; Ixodida; Ixodidae
Description: uncharacterized LOC126521683
Source: RNAcentral